CGGAGGAAAGAAACCAACAGGGAUUGCCCUAGUAACGGCGAGUGAAGCGGCAACAGCUCAAAUUUGAAAUCUGGCCCUUGGGUCCGAAUUGUAAUUUGUAGAGGAUGAUUUUGGUGCGGUACCUUCCGAGUUCCUUGGAACAGGACGCCUUAGAGGGUGAGAGCCCCGUACGGUUGGAUACCUAGCCUCUGUAAAUCUCCUUCGACGAGUCGAGUAGUUUGGGAAUGCUGCUCUAAAUGGGAGGUAAAUUUCUUCUAAAGCUAAAUACUGGCCAGAGACCGAUAGCGCACAAGUAGAGUGAUCGAAAGAUGAAAAGCACUUUGAAAAGAGGGUUAAAUAGCACGUGAAAUUGUUGAAAGGGAAGGAUUUAUGACCAGACUUUUUCUGGGCAGAUCAUCCGGUGUUCUCACCGGUGCACUUUGCCCAGUUUAGGCCAGCAUCGAUUUCCGGAGGGGGAUAAAAGCUUUAGGAAUGUGGCUCCCUCGGGAGUGUUAUAGCCUAUUGUAUAAUACCUUUCUGGGGAUCGAGGUACGCGCUUCUGCAAGGAUGCUGGCGUAAUGGUUAUCAAUCACCCGUCUUGAAACACGGACCAAGGAGUCGAACAUUUGUGCGAGUGUUUGGGUGUUAAACCCUCACGCGUAAUGAAAGUGAACGGAGGUAAGAGCCCUUACGGGUGCAUUAUCGACCGAUCCUGAAGUUUUCGGAUGGAUUUGAGUAGGAGCAUAAAUGUUCGGACCCGAAAGAUGGUGAACUAUGCGUGGAUAGGGUGAAGCCAGAGGAAACUCUGGUGGAGGCUCGCAGCGGUUCUGACGUGCAAAUCGAUCGUCAAAUCUGCGCAUGGGGGCGAAAGACUAAUCGAACAUCUA
RNAcentral lists this ribosomal RNA (866 nucleotides) under Monochaetia ilexae. RNAcentral describes it as "partial large subunit ribosomal RNA". It matches the Rfam family "Eukaryotic large subunit ribosomal RNA", at positions 51 to 946 of the family's 3401-position model. The record is from RNAcentral. Lineage: Eukaryota; Fungi; Ascomycota; Sordariomycetes; Amphisphaeriales; Sporocadaceae.